Molecule: ribosomal RNA, 182 nt
Filed under: uncultured bacterium
Lineage: Bacteria
Description: partial 16S ribosomal RNA
Rfam family: Bacterial small subunit ribosomal RNA
Source: RNAcentral
AGGCUGAAACUCGCCUCUUUGAAGUCGGAAUCGCUAGUAAUCGCAGAUCAGCAUGUUGCGGUGAAUACGUUUCCUGGUCUUGUACACACCGCCCGUCAAACCAUGAGAGUCGCCAACACCCGAAGUCCGCUUUGCGGCCUAAGGUGGGAGAGAUGAUUGGGGUUAAGUCGUAACAAGGUACC